This 500-nucleotide ribosomal RNA is filed under the name uncultured bacterium. RNAcentral's name for it is "partial 16S ribosomal RNA". It matches the Rfam family "Bacterial small subunit ribosomal RNA", at positions 899 to 1397 of the family's 1533-position model. The record is from RNAcentral.
ACUCAAAUGAAUUGACGGGGACCCGCACAAGCGGUGGAGCAUGUGGUUUAAUUCGAGGCAACGCGAAGAACCUUACCAGGCCUUGACAUGUCCAGUUUGAUUACCAGAGAUGGUUUUCUUCACUUCGGGUGGCUGGAACACAGGUGCUGCAUGGCUGUCGUCAGCUCGUGUCGUGAGAUGUUGGGUUAAGUCCCGCAACGAGCGCAACCCUCGUCCUUAGUUGCUAACAUUCAGUUGAGAACUCUAAGGAAACUGCCUAUGAUAAGUAGGAGGAAGGUGGGGACGACGUCAAGUCAUCAUGGCCCUUACGGCCUGGGCUACACACGUGCUACAAUGGCGGCUACAAUGGGCAGCGAUACCGUGAGGUCUAGCUAAUCCCUAAAAGCCGUCUCAGUUCGGAUUGUACUCUGCAACUCGAGUACAUGAAGUUGGAAUCGCUAGUAAUCGUAGAUCAGCAUGCUACGGUGAAUACGUUCCCGGGUCUUGUACACACCGCCCGU